This 382-nucleotide ribosomal RNA is filed under the name uncultured eukaryote. RNAcentral describes it as "partial 18S ribosomal RNA". It matches the Rfam family "Eukaryotic small subunit ribosomal RNA", at positions 592 to 976 of the family's 1831-position model. The record is from RNAcentral.
CAAUAGCGUAUAUUAAUGUUGUUGCAGUUAAAAAGCUCGUAUUUGGACUUCUGGCGGGAGUGUCCGGUCCGCCCCUAACGGGGUGCGUUACUUGGACAUCUUUUGCCAUCCUUGGCGAGAGCGCGUUGGGCAUUAAGUUGUUCGUCGCGGGAUCGCCAUCAUUUACUGUGAAAAAAUUAGAGUGUUUAAAGCAGGCGUUUGCUGUGAAUACAUUAGCAUGGAAUAAUAAGAUAGGACUUUGGUGCUAUUUUGUUGGUUGAGCCUAAAGUAAUGAUUAAUAGGGAUAGUUGGGGGCACCUGUAUUGCGUUGUCAGAGGUGAAAUUCUUGGAUUUACGCAAGACAAACAGCUGCGAAAGCGUCUGCCAAGGAUGUUUUCAUUAA